Molecule: long non-coding RNA, 1155 nt
Organism: Mauremys reevesii (Reeves's turtle)
Lineage: Eukaryota; Metazoa; Chordata; Testudines; Geoemydidae
Exons: 3
Source: RefSeq, a predicted model, not a curated record
GCAGCCUCAGCGCGCAAGAUCAGGAGGAGGGACAGGAACCGGCGUGGCUGGGAAGGGAUCCCUGCAGUCCUGCCACGGAGAGAGAUUUCCUGGAGAACGGAAUUAGCCUGGAAUGUUUUCUUGCUUUUGCGAUGAAUACUGCAAAGCUUGGAUAUUUAAGUCUCGAACGGUUUGCAUUUUCCCUCAGAAUCUCAUGCAAGUUUCAGGUUCUUUUCAGGUAUGAAGCAGGCGCGUAAUAUCCCGGCAGAGAGGGGCUGUGCCCCUGCCCCCGCCAGGCUAUGGGAGACGGAGCCCACCAAGGACCAUCAGGACAUGAGAAGCGCGCGGGUCCAGGAGGAUUAACUGCAUUUAAUGAGAUGGCUUCUGCUGGCCGCCCAGGGGCUUGGGGCAGCUGUAGGUGGGACAGCCUCAAAGUUCAUUCAUCUCCUGGCACCUUGGCAGCGUCAAGGGGCAGAAAUCUCCAGGUUCUUAAUGAAUUAAACACCAUCAGGCAGCGGGAGGAUCAGGCCCACUGCAGCCCCGGGGGCUUGUGAUGAUGUUUUACUGCACUUAGCACCAUAAGUUCAGGGCACCUUUUCUGUGCUCAUUGUAAAGCCCUCAGCCAUCCACAGGUUUAGCCCUCCCGGCCUGGCAGAGGGCUGCUAACCAGCGUGACACCGCCUCCUGGGUUGAUUGACAUGGUCCCUGGCCCACUCACUACGUUGCCAGGUCUUCCAUAUUCGCCUGCUGCCAAUAUUUUCUGUCAUCCAACCCAUCGAUAACGAAAACCCCAAAACACGCUUCUCCGCAGCCGCUUCAAUCAGCCCCGACGCACCUGCAAACUUCUAGGAAGAGCUGGACUCUGGCUGAGGUGAAAGAGCAGCACAAACCGAAUCGCGCCCCGCUUAGGGCACAGAGACAGUCACAUCGCUGGCAAAUGUCCUGGACUUCGAAACAUUCUUUCAGUUCGGCGUGUGGGUUAUUGGGACGCGAUCCCUGGGUUCUCAAGGACGGGCUCGUUAUGGAAGGAUUUCUUGUUGCUGUUGCGUGGGCAGAGUGGGGCGUAUUUUAAAAAAAUGGGCAGCUGUCCAGUUCUGUGCAGAUUUGUUGCAGAUAUUUCUGAUCGGUCACCCGUGUCUGUGGGACCCUGGGGUCUUUGCUGCCACCAGGUCUGUG